Molecule: ribosomal RNA, 484 nt
Filed under: uncultured bacterium
Lineage: Bacteria
Description: partial 16S ribosomal RNA
Rfam family: Bacterial small subunit ribosomal RNA
Source: RNAcentral
GACGAACGCUGGCGGCGUGCUUAACACAUGCAAGUCGAACGGUGAAGCAGGAGCUUGCUCCUGUGGAUCAGUGGCGAACGGGUGAGUAACACGUGAGCAAUCUGCCCUGGACUCUGGGAUAAGCGUUGGAAACGACGUCUAAUACCGGAUACGAGGCGUGGGGGCAUCCCCAACGCCUGGAAAGAACUUCGGUCCAGGAUGAGCUCGCGGCCUAUCAGGUAGUUGGUGAGGUAACGGCUCACCAAGCCUACGACGGGUAGCCGGCCUGAGAGGGUGACCGGCCACACUGGGACUGAGACACGGCCCAGACUCCUACGGGAGGCAGCAGUGGGGAAUAUUGCACAACGGGCGCAAGCCUGAUGCAGCAACGCCGCGUGAGGGACGACGGCCUUCGGGUUGUAAACCUCUUUUAGCAGGGAAGAAGCGAAAGUGACGGUACCUGCAGAAAAAGCACCGGCUAACUACGUGCCAGCAGCCGCCGUAA